RNAcentral lists this ribosomal RNA (467 nucleotides) under uncultured bacterium. RNAcentral describes it as "bacterial SSU rRNA". It matches the Rfam family "Bacterial small subunit ribosomal RNA", at positions 355 to 825 of the family's 1533-position model. The record is from RNAcentral.
UAGGGAAUAUUGGACAAUGGGUGAGAGCCUGAUCCAGCCGUGCCGCGUGCAGGAAGAAGGCGUUAUGCGUUGUAAACUGCUUUUUGCCAGGGGAUAAAAAGACCGUGCGCGGUUAAUUGAAGGUACCUGGUGAAUAAGCCACGGCUAACUACGUGCCAGCAGCCGCGGUAAUACGUAGGGACCAAGCGUUGUUCGGAUUUACUGGGCGUAAAGGGCGCGUAGGCGGUGUGUCAAGUCAGUUGUGAAAUCUCCGAGCUUAACUCGGAACGGUCAACUGAUACUGUCACACUAGAGUACAGAAGGGGCAAUCGGAAUUCUUGGUGUAGCGGUGAAAUGCGUAGAUAUCAAGAGGAACACCUGAGGCGAAGGCGGAUUGCUGGGCUGAUACUGACGCUGAGGCGCGAAAGCUAGGGUAGCAAACGGGAUUAGAUACCCAAGUAGUCCCUGAGCGGGCUGGCAAGGCGCAU